GGUCUUCAAUAUUAUGCAGUUAUCCGUGUGCUUUUCUAUGAAAUCUCAAACCCUUUAACACUUUUCAUUACCAUGUCCUUAAGAACUCACAAUGCGCAAUGUAUAUAUUCUAUCCAUAAUGCCGUUCAAUGUUUUUUCUCUUCCAAUUUUACAUAUUGCGUAACCCUGAAUAGUCGACUGAAAUCUAGAAAUAAUUUUAAAACGACUUUGCAACUGGGUGAAAAAUUCGCAUCUUUAAAUGAACUGCGAGGAAAAAUCGGUAUGUAUUUUAAUCACCGAAAAAUUGUCUUCCGAGGAGAAAAAAUCACAUUACGGUAAAACUCCGAACAUAAUACUUUCAUCGGUACAAUGGCAAUUCAAAAUUCGAUUUACAAUGAUGGGACGUGGCGAGUUGUCUGAAAAUAUGCGCAGUCUUGUUGCGCCUUCGCUUAAAUAUAAUAUUCUAAAACCUUCUCUUCCGCAGACAUAGUAAAUUUACAUUGCUGUAAAUUCCGUAAAAUAUGAAAAUCGUUCCG
This is a non-coding RNA of Cinara cedri, 515 nucleotides long. The record is from the annotation of a GenBank genome assembly. NCBI's taxonomy places the organism in Eukaryota, Metazoa, Arthropoda, Insecta, Hemiptera, Aphididae.